GAUGAACGCUAGCUACAGGCUUAACACAUGCAAGUCGAGGGGUAACGAGAGGGAAGCUUGCUUUCCUUGUCGACGACCGGCGCACGGGUGAGUAACGCGUAUCCAACCUGCCCCCAACUAGGGAAUAACCUUGCGAAAGUAAGACUAAUACCCUAUAAUUUCCUCAGAUGUCAUCUGACGAGGAAUAAAGAUUUAUCGGUUGUGGAUGGGGAUGCGUCUGAUUAGCUUGUUGGCGGGGUAACGGCCCACCAAGGCAACGAUCAGUAGGGGUUCUUAGACGAAGGUCCCCCACAGUGGAACUGAGACACGGUCUAAACUCCUACGGGAGGCAGCAGUGAGGAAUAUUGGUCAAUGGGCGGAAGCCUGAACCAGCCAAGUAGCGUGCGGGAUGACGGCCCUAUGGGGUGUAAACUGCUUUUAUACAGGAAUAAAGUUAGCCACGUGUGGUUAUUUGUAGGUACUGUAUGAAUAAGGACCGGCUAAUUCCGUGCCAGCCGCCGCGGUAA
Molecule: ribosomal RNA, 506 nt
Filed under: uncultured bacterium
Lineage: Bacteria
Description: partial 16S ribosomal RNA
Rfam family: Bacterial small subunit ribosomal RNA
Source: RNAcentral